Molecule: ribosomal RNA, 505 nt
Filed under: uncultured bacterium
Lineage: Bacteria
Description: partial 16S ribosomal RNA
Rfam family: Bacterial small subunit ribosomal RNA
Source: RNAcentral
GACGAACGCUGGCGGCGUGCCUAAUACAUGCAAGUCGAACGCACAGUUUAUACCGUAGCUUGCUACACCAUAGACUGUGAGUUGCGAACGGGUGAGUAACGCGUAGGUAACCUGCCUGGUGGCGGGGGAUAACUAUUGGAAACGAUAGCUAAUACCGCAUAAUAUUAAUUAUUGCAUGAUAAUUAAUUGAAAGGUGCAAUUGCACCACUACCAGAUGGACCUGCGUUGUAUUAGCUAGUAGGUGAGGUAACGGCUCACCUAGGCGACGAUACAUAGCCGACCUGGGAAGGUGGUCCGCCAAACCUGGAAUGAGGAACCGCCCAGACUCCCAAGGGAAGCAGCAGUAGGGAAUUUUUGGACAUGGACGGAAGGCUGAACGAGCCACGCCGGGUGGGUGAAGAAGGGUUUCGGAUUGUAAAAGUCUGUUGUAAGAGAAGAACGGGUGUGAGAGUGGAAAGUUCACACUGUGACGGUAUCUUACCAGAAAGGGACGGCUAACUACGUG